RNAcentral lists this ribosomal RNA (257 nucleotides) under Salmonella enterica subsp. enterica serovar Ohio. Its description in RNAcentral is "partial 23S ribosomal RNA". It matches the Rfam family "Bacterial large subunit ribosomal RNA", at positions 2686 to 2925 of the family's 2925-position model. The record is from RNAcentral. Lineage: Bacteria; Pseudomonadati; Pseudomonadota; Gammaproteobacteria; Enterobacterales; Enterobacteriaceae.
AGAGGACCGGAGUGGACGCAUCACUGGUGUUCGGGUUGUCAUGCCAAUGGCACUGCCCGGUAGCUAAAUGCGGAAGAGAUAAGUGCUGAAAGCAUCUAAGCACGAAACUUGCCCCGAGAUGAGUUCUCCCUGAGACUUUAGAUCUCCUGAAGGAACGUUGAAGACGACGACGUUGAUAGGCCGGGUGUGUAAGCGCAGCGAUGCGUUGAGCUAACCGGUACUAAUGAACCGUGAGGCUUAACCUUACAACGCCGAAG